Molecule: ribosomal RNA, 731 nt
Filed under: Aspergillus niger
Lineage: Eukaryota; Fungi; Ascomycota; Eurotiomycetes; Eurotiales; Aspergillaceae
Description: SSU rRNA
Rfam family: Eukaryotic small subunit ribosomal RNA
Source: RNAcentral
GUUUAUUUGAUAGUACCUUACUACAUGGAUACCUGUGGUAAUUCUAGAGCUAAUACAUGCUGAAAACCUCGACUUCGGAAGGGGUGUAUUUAUUAGAUAAAAAACCAAUGCCCUUCGGGGCUCCUUGGUGAAUCAUAAUAACUUAACGAAUCGCAUGGCCUUGCGCCGGCGAUGGUUCAUUCAAAUUUCUGCCCUAUCAACUUUCGAUGGUAGGAUAGUGGCCUACCAUGGUGGCAACGGGUAACGGGGAAUUAGGGUUCGAUUCCGGAGAGGGAGCCUGAGAAACGGCUACCACAUCCAAGGAAGGCAGCAGGCGCGCAAAUUACCCAAUCCCGACACGGGGAGGUAGUGACAAUAAAUACUGAUACGGGGCUCUAUUGGGUCUCGUAAUUGGAAUGAGUACAAUCUAAAUCCCUUAACGAGGAACAAUUGGAGGGCAAGUCUGGUGCCAGCAGCCGCGGUAAUUCCAGCUCCAAUAGCGUAUAUUAAAGUUGUUGCAGUUAAAAAGCUCGUAGUUGAACCUUGGGUCUGGCUGGCCGGUCCGCCUCACCGCGAGUACUGGUCCGGCUGGACCUUUCCUUCUGGGGAAUCUCAUGGCCUUCACUGGCUGUGGGGGGAACCAGGACUUUUACUGUGAAAAAAAUUAGAGUGUUCAAAGCAGGCCUUUGCUCGAAUACAUUAGCAUGGAAUAAUAGAAUAGGACGUGCGGUUCUAUUUUGUUGGUUUCUAAG